GAUGAAUGCUGGCGGCGUGCCUAACACAUGCAAGUCGAGCGGUAACAGGAGUAGUUUACUACUUGCUGACGAGCGGCGGACGGCUGAGUAACGCGUGGGAACGUGCCCCAAAGUGAGGGAUAAGCUCCAGAAAUGGAGUCUAAUACCGCAUAUGAUCUUCGGAUUAAAGGAUUUAUCCGCUUUGGGAGCGGCCCGCGUUAGAUUAGGUAGUUGGUAGGGUAAUGGCCUACCAAGCCGACGAUCUAUAGCUGGUCUGAGAGGAUGAUCAGCCAGACUGGGACUGAGACACGGCCCAGACUCCUACGGGAGGCAGCAGUGAGGAAUCUUCCACAAUGGGCGAAAGCCUGAUGGAGCAACGCCGCGUGAAGGAUGAAGGCCCUCGGGUUGUAAACUUCUUUUAUAAGUGAAGAAUAUGACGGUAACUUAUGAAUAAGCACCGGCUAACUACGUGCCAGCCGCCGCAGUAA
RNAcentral lists this ribosomal RNA (467 nucleotides) under uncultured bacterium. RNAcentral's name for it is "partial 16S ribosomal RNA". It matches the Rfam family "Bacterial small subunit ribosomal RNA", at positions 28 to 523 of the family's 1533-position model. The record is from RNAcentral.